UUUAUUGGAGAGUUUGAUCCUGGCUCAGGAUGAACGCUGGCGGCGUGCCUAAUACAUGCAAGUCGAGCGAAUGGAUUAAGAGCUUGCUCUUAUGAAGUUAGCAGC
RNAcentral lists this ribosomal RNA (105 nucleotides) under Bacillus cereus. RNAcentral's name for it is "partial 16S ribosomal RNA". It matches the Rfam family "Bacterial small subunit ribosomal RNA", at positions 1 to 99 of the family's 1533-position model. The record is from RNAcentral. Lineage: Bacteria; Bacillati; Bacillota; Bacilli; Caryophanales; Bacillaceae.